RNAcentral lists this ribosomal RNA (480 nucleotides) under Rhipicephalus annulatus. RNAcentral's name for it is "partial small subunit ribosomal RNA". Lineage: Eukaryota; Metazoa; Arthropoda; Arachnida; Ixodida; Ixodidae. The record is from RNAcentral.
GACAAAUAGAAAAAUUCUUUUUAUAAUAAAAUUUAAAUAACAAAUUUAAUUAUAAUUAUUAAAAAUUAAGGUGAAAUUUUUUUUUAAUUAAAUUUUAUAUAAAAUUAAAAUUCUUAUAAUAAACUAGGAUUAGAUACCCUAUUAUUUUAGAGCUUUACAUUGUAAGUAAAUAAUAAUUACGAAAGCAAAAAAUUAUGGCGGUAUUUUAAGCUUUUCAGAGGAAUUUGCUCUUUAAUGGAUAAAACACCUAAAUCUUACUUAAAUUUGUUAGGUCAAUUUGUAUACCACUAUUAAAUUAAUUAAUAAUUUUAAUUUAUAAAAUUUAUAUAAAUUUAAAAAAAAUUAAGUCAAGGUGCAGUAAAAAUUUAAGAAUGAAGUGAAUUACAAUUCUCUUAAGAGAUUAUUUAAAUUAAAAUUUUAAUUUAGGAUUUGAAAGUAAAAUUAAAAUAGAAUGUUAAUUUGAAUAAAGCUCUAAAAUAU